This 179-nucleotide ribosomal RNA is filed under the name uncultured Streptococcus sp. Its description in RNAcentral is "partial 16S ribosomal RNA". It matches the Rfam family "Bacterial small subunit ribosomal RNA", at positions 1207 to 1382 of the family's 1533-position model. The record is from RNAcentral. Lineage: Bacteria; Bacillati; Bacillota; Bacilli; Lactobacillales; Streptococcaceae.
CCUCGGGCUACACACGUGCUACAAUCGGUUGGUACAACGAGUUGCGAGUCCGGUGGCGGCGAGCUAAUCUCUUAAAGCCAAUCUCAGUUCCGGAUUGUAGGCUGCAACUCGCCUACAUGAAGUCGGAAUCGCUAGUAAUCGCGGAUCAGCACGCCGCGGUGAAUACGUUCCCGGGCCUU